GACGAACGCUGGCGGCGUGCUUAACACAUGCAAGUCGAACGGAAAGGCCCUGCUUUUGUGGGGUGCUCGAGUGGCGAACGGGUGAGUAACACGUGAGUAACCUGCCCUUGACUUUGGGAUAACUUCAGGAAACUGGGGCUAAUACCGGAUAGGAGCUCCUGCUGCAUGGUGGGGGUUGGAAAGUUUCGGCGGUUGGGGAUGGACUCGCGGCUUAUCAGCUUGUUGGUGGGGUAGUGGCUUACCAAGGCUUUGACGGGUAGCCGGCCUGAGAGGGGGCCCGGCCCCAGGGGGCUCGGGGCACGGCCCGGGCCCCUUCGGGGGCAAGGGGUGGGAGAUUGUGCCCAAUGGGCGGAGGGGGGAUGCAGGACCCCCGGGUGGGGAAUGCCGGCUUUUGGGGUGUAAACGCCUUUCGCCUGUACCCAGCCGUGAGGAACGGAAAUGGGUAAAAAAGCACCGGCUACUUACGG
RNAcentral lists this ribosomal RNA (467 nucleotides) under uncultured bacterium. RNAcentral's name for it is "partial 16S ribosomal RNA". It matches the Rfam family "Bacterial small subunit ribosomal RNA", at positions 28 to 506 of the family's 1533-position model. The record is from RNAcentral.